UACGUAGGGUGCGAGCGUUAAUCGGAAUUACUGGGCGUAAAGCGUGCGUAGGCGGUUCGUUAAGUUCGUUGUGAAAGCCCCGGGCUCAACCUGGGAAUGGCAUUUGGGACUGCAAGGCUUGAGUGCGGCAGAGGAGACUGGAAUUCCUGGUGUAGCAGUGAAAUGCGUAGAUAUCAGGAGGAACACCGAUGGCGAAGGCAGGUCUCUGGGCUGACACUGACGCUCAUGCACGAAAGCGUGGGGAGCAAACAGG
RNAcentral lists this ribosomal RNA (253 nucleotides) under uncultured bacterium. RNAcentral's name for it is "partial 16S ribosomal RNA". It matches the Rfam family "Bacterial small subunit ribosomal RNA", at positions 524 to 776 of the family's 1533-position model. The record is from RNAcentral.